This is a long non-coding RNA of Haliotis rubra (blacklip abalone), 297 nucleotides long. RefSeq lists it as uncharacterized. The record is from RefSeq and is a predicted model, not a curated record. The transcript is spliced from 2 exons. Lineage: Eukaryota; Metazoa; Mollusca; Gastropoda; Lepetellida; Haliotidae.
GUGGUAGCCACAGCAGCCAUCAUCACUCCCACGGCAUCCCCAUGCCCAUCCCUUACAUGAUGGGCGGCAGCGGCGGCGGUCACAGCCACUCCAACUACCUCCCCAUCGUCCUGACAACGGCUGGUUAAGUCCGCUGUGACUGGACUCUACCACAACCCUCUACUUUCAGUUUGUCCAUCAACAUGCGCUGGUCACGUGUUUUAACAAGUCUUCGAAAAGCUGACGGGUUGCAAGAAAACAAUAUUACAGAAUGUUAGUUUUUGUUUUUCUUCCAUAAUAAAAAGUCUUGGUAAAAUU